RNAcentral lists this long non-coding RNA (432 nucleotides) under Salmo salar (Atlantic salmon). RNAcentral describes it as "lncRNA (ENSSSAG00000117712.1)". Lineage: Eukaryota; Metazoa; Chordata; Actinopteri; Salmoniformes; Salmonidae. The record is from RNAcentral.
GUCCUACUUCCUGUAAACACACAGUCCAGUUCAUAGUGAAUGAUGGAAGGUCCUACUUCCUGUAAACACACAGUCCAGUUCAUAGUGAAUGAUGACAGGUCCUACUUCCUGUAAACACAGAGUCCAGUUCAUAGUGAAUGAUGACAGGUCCUACUUCCUGUAUGAUGGCAGGUCCUACUUCCUUUAAACACACAGUUCAGUUCAUAGUGAAUGAUUGCAGGUCCUACUUCCUGUAAACACACAGUCCAGUUCAUAGUGAAUGAUGACAGGUCCUACUUCCUGUAAACACACAGUCCAGUUCAUAGUGAAUGAUGGAAGGUCCUACUUCCUGUAAACACACAGUCCAGUUCAUAGUGAAUGAUGGAAGGUCCUACUUCCUGUAUGAUGGCAGGUCCUACUUCCUGUAAACACACAGUCCAGUUCAUAGUGAAU